RNAcentral lists this ribosomal RNA (482 nucleotides) under uncultured bacterium. RNAcentral describes it as "partial 16S ribosomal RNA". It matches the Rfam family "Bacterial small subunit ribosomal RNA", at positions 30 to 507 of the family's 1533-position model. The record is from RNAcentral.
AUUGAACGCUGGCGGCAUGCUUUACACAUGCAAGUCGAACGGUAACAGGCCGCCAGGUGCUGACGAGUGGCGAACGGGUGAGUAAUGCAUCGGAACGUGCCCAGUCUUUGGGGAUAACUACUCGAAAGAGUAGCUAAUACCGCAUACGAUCUAUGGAUGAAAGCGGGGGACCGUAAGGCCUCGCGCGAUUGGAGCGGCCGAUGUCAGAUUAGGUAGUUGGUGGGGUAAAGGCUCACCAAGCCAACGAUCUGUAGCUGGUCUGAGAGGACGACCAGCCACACUGGGACUGAGACACGGCCCAGACUCCUACGGGAGGCAGCAGUGGGGAAUUUUGGACAAUGGGCGCAAGCCUGAUCCAGCAAUGCCGCGUGCAGGAAGAAGGCCUUCGGGUUGUAAACUGCUUUUGUACGGAACGAAACGGCUCUGGUUAAUACCCGGGGCUAAUGACGGUACCGUAAGAAUAAGCACCGGCUAACUACGUG